AUCGUCUUUAGAGACAUUCAUUGUAGAUAAGGCUGCUGUGUCACAUGUACAUCAGUAGGUGGCAGAGAGGAGAGAGGCUAUGUUUAUGCUAGGUGACCCUUUGAAUGACUAGUAACUUAACACU
Small nucleolar RNA from Rattus norvegicus (Norway rat), 124 nucleotides. Ensembl annotates it as small nucleolar RNA SNORA17. NCBI's taxonomy places the organism in Eukaryota, Metazoa, Chordata, Mammalia, Rodentia, Muridae. The record is from Ensembl.